RNAcentral lists this ribosomal RNA (253 nucleotides) under uncultured bacterium. RNAcentral describes it as "partial 16S ribosomal RNA". It matches the Rfam family "Bacterial small subunit ribosomal RNA", at positions 524 to 776 of the family's 1533-position model. The record is from RNAcentral.
UACGUAGGUGGCAAGCGUUGUCCGGAAUUAUUGGGCGUAAAGCGCGCGCAGGCGGUCCCUUAAGUCUGAUGUGAAAGCCCACGGCUCAACCGUGGAGGGUCAUUGGAAACUGGGGGACUUGAGUGCAGAAGAGGAAAGUGGAAUUCCAUGUGUAGCGGUGAAAUGCGUAGAGAUGUGGAGGAACACCAGUGGCGAAGGCGACUUUCUGGUCUGUAACUGACGCGGAGGCGCGAAAGCGUGGGGAGCAAACAGG